This 805-nucleotide ribosomal RNA is filed under the name Vibrio vulnificus. Its description in RNAcentral is "partial 23S ribosomal RNA". It matches the Rfam family "Bacterial large subunit ribosomal RNA", at positions 611 to 1419 of the family's 2925-position model. Lineage: Bacteria; Pseudomonadati; Pseudomonadota; Gammaproteobacteria; Vibrionales; Vibrionaceae. The record is from RNAcentral.
UAUAAUGGGUCAGCGACUUAUAUUCAGUGGCAAGGUUAACCAUCUAGGGGAGCCGUAGGGAAACCGAGUCUUAACUGGGCGCCAUAGUCUCUGGAUAUAGACCCGAAACCGAGUGAUCUAGCCAUGGGCAGGUUGAAGGUUGAGUAACAUCAACUGGAGGACCGAACCGACUAAUGUUGAAAAAUUAGCGGAUGACUUGUGGCUAGGGGUGAAAGGCCAAUCAAACUCGGAGAUAGCUGGUUCUCCCCGAAAGCUAUUUAGGUAGCGCCUCGGACGAAUACUACUGGGGGUAGAGCACUGUUAAGGCUAGGGGGUCAUCCCGACUUACCAACCCUUUGCAAACUCCGAAUACCAGUAAGUACUAUCCGGGAGACACACGGCGGGUGCUAACGUCCGUCGUGGAGAGGGAAACAACCCAGACCGCCAGCUAAGGUCCCAAAUUACAGCUAAGUGGGAAACGAUGUGGGAAGGCUUAGACAGCUAGGAUGUUGGCUUAGAAGCAGCCAUCAUUUAAAGAAAGCGUAAUAGCUCACUAGUCGAGUCGGCCUGCGCGGAAGAUGUAACGGGGCUAAGUUGUAAACCGAAGCUGCGGCAAUGUUCUUUGAACAUUGGGUAGGGGAGCGUUCUGUAAGCCGUUGAAGGUGUGUUGUAAAGCAUGCUGGAGGUAUCAGAAGUGCGAAUGCUGACAUGAGUAACGACAAGGGGGGUGAAAAACCUCCCCGCCGGAAGACCAAGGGUUCCUGUCCAACGUUAAUCGGGGCAGGGUAAGUCGACCCCUAAGGCGAGGCCGAAAGGCGUAGUCGAU